GCUGCAUAUCCAAUAUGUCAGAAAGCAAAACACAAAAAACAUUAAAAAUAAGAAAGCAGAACUGCAGAUUUAUUCUAGCAGUGGAGCAAAGAUAAAUUUCUGGCUCUUGAAAAAUUGAGCUUGUCAUCAGACAAAAUAGUUGGGUCUGAAUAAAUAAAUGUUUAUGCAACAAAAUAUAGCAAAAGAUGUAUUAAAGGAAAACAACAGAAUUGAGAAAAAUAUAUCACCAAUCUAACUGCAAAUGAUUAAAAUUGGUAGAAAUGUAUAAUGUGCAGGUCUAGAUGCCUUUCCAGGAAGUGAGCAAAGGAUGAGUUCAACUGGUUUGCUCAGGAGCCAUUGUCACAGCCCAAGGGAGCCACAGUGUGGCCUAGAGUGAGCCCAGCUUCAGUAAUAAUUCAGAGUCCACACACCCAACUUGCUUGAUGAGCCUGUGCCUCUCCCUUCUUAUGGAAAAUGGAUAUUUAUAUGGUUUGGCUGUGUCCCCACCCAAAUCUCAUCUUCAAUUUCCACGUGUUGUGGGAGGGACCCAGUGGUAAUUGAAUCAUGGGGGCGGGGCUUUCUCGUGCUGUUCUUGUGAUAGUGAAUAAGUCUCACGAGAUCUGAUGGCUUUAAAAAGAGCAGUUCCCCUGCACAAGCUCUCUCUCUUUGCCUGCUGCCAUCCAUGUUGAGAUGUGACUUGCUCCUCCUUGCCUUCUGCCAUGAUUGUGAGGCUUCCCCAGUCACGUCGAACUGGAUUCUCAUGAGGACAAAUUAGAGCACCUGUCACUAUAGCCAGCACUCAAGAAAUGGGAUUAUCAUCAGAGGGAAAAAUGCACAGCCUCACCAGCUAUUAAACAUAUGGAAAUGAUGACAAUUUAAAGCUUAUAAAUAACAUUAGCGGUGGCUUGGAUUUAUUGUUGUGGCCUCCGGAAGAACUUGGGCACAGUGUAACUUCCUGGGGCCCGAGGUUGUUAAUCGGUGAAUUGUUCAUGAAGGACAGUGCUCACUGUGAAGGUGGGUGUCCUGGGAUGCUCUGCCUGGCCCGCGGGAGACAAGGCUAUGGUCUGACAUCCCUCAGCCUGUCCUCAUUGUCCUGGCUCUGAGAAGAAGCUACAAAACACAGUAGAAGAAAAAGAAAACAGUCUUUUAAAGACUUGUAAUGAGUUGUUAAUGAUAAAAGUAACACAUGCCAACUGGAAAAAUGUGAAUUUUUUAUCUCAGCCAAAAGUAUAAAGAUACUUCGAUUUCUUUAAAAACUUAUGGAAAUCUGUUGUUGUAUGCAUAGAUUGUUGAAUACAUCUCUGCUUAUUUAAACUCCUGAAAGUCUUAUCAAUGAGGUCAAAAGGCAGGAACAGGUUGUUUGUUGUUGUUGGUUAUUUGUCUUUUUGAGACAGGGUUUUGCUCUGUCACCAAGGCUGGAGUGCAGUGGCGCAGUCACAACUCAUUGCAGCCUCCAUCUCCUGGGCUCAAGCAAUCCUCCCACCUCAGCCUCUAGAGUAGCUAGGACUACAGGUGCACACCACCAUGCCUGGCUAAUUUUUUUUUUUUUGGUAGAGAUAGUGUCUUGCUAUGUUGCCCAGGCUGGUCUUGAACUCCUGGCCUCAAGCGAUCCUUCCAACUUGGCCUCCCAAAGCACAAGGAUUACAGGCAUGAGCCAUUGCACCAAGCAGAAACGUGUUUAAGGCUCUUAAAAAUUAUUAGAAAAUAUUGCUAACUUUUCUUCCAGAAAGGUUUUACCAAUGCAUGCUUUCAUCAGCAAUGUGUAGGAAGUAUUUCAUUGCAGCCUCAGCAAUACUGCAUAUAUUCAUUUCAAAAACAUAGCCAGCUUGCAAAAAAAUGUAUUUGGUGGUAGCAUUUCAUUAAUAAUGAAGUCACAGUUUUUCUAUGUACUGAUUUCUGACUUCUAUGAUUCUAUUUACUUGAAACUGUAGAACAUAUAUAGAGUUUUUUGGAUAUUUCUAUUACGUCUAUAUGUUGUUUUACUUUGUAAGUUCUUUUUUGAGACAGACUCUCACUCUGUCGCCCAGGCUGGAGUGCAGUGGUGGGAUGUCGGCUCACUGCAACCUCCGCCUCCCGGGUUCAAGAGAUUCUCCUGUCUCAGCCUCCUGAGUAGCUGGGACUACAGGCACCCACCACCACACCCAGCUAAUCUUUUUUGUACUUUUAGUAGAGACGAGUUUUCACCAUGUUAGCCAGGAUGGUCUUGAUCUCCUGACCUCGUGAUCUGCCCGCCUCAGCCUCCCAAAGUGCUGGGAUUACAGGAAUGAGCCACUGCACCUGGCCAACUUUGUAAGUUCUUUACUCAUUUUUCUUACAG
This 2296-nucleotide long non-coding RNA is filed under the name Homo sapiens (human). Its description in RNAcentral is "HSALNT0027066". The record is from RNAcentral. Lineage: Eukaryota; Metazoa; Chordata; Mammalia; Primates; Hominidae.